GGUAAAAUGGCUGAAUUAUAGGCGAUAGAUUGUAAAUUUAUUUAUGGGAAUUAAUCUCUUUUACU
Molecule: transfer RNA, 65 nt
Filed under: Protohermes yunnanensis
Lineage: Eukaryota; Metazoa; Arthropoda; Insecta; Megaloptera; Corydalidae
Also listed under: 2 other names
Description: tRNA-Tyr
Source: RNAcentral